This 335-nucleotide RNase P RNA is filed under the name Gammaproteobacteria bacterium. Its description in RNAcentral is "RNase P RNA component class A". It matches the Rfam family "Bacterial RNase P class A". Rfam says of the family: Ribonuclease P (RNase P) is a ubiquitous endoribonuclease, found in archaea, bacteria and eukarya as well as chloroplasts and mitochondria. Its best characterised activity is the generation of mature 5'-ends of tRNAs by cleaving the 5'-leader elements of precursor-tRNAs. Cellular RNase Ps are ribonucleoproteins. Lineage: Bacteria; Pseudomonadati; Pseudomonadota; Gammaproteobacteria. The record is from RNAcentral.
GGAGUCGGCUAAACAGUCGCUUCGCCCCCCUUUUAUUCUGGCGGGGCGGGGAGGAAAGUCCGGGCUCCACUGGGCAAAGGCGCCGGGUAAUUCCCGGGCGGCGCGAGCCGACGGAAAGUGCCACAGAAAAUAUACCGCCGCGCGCCCAUCCGGCUGCCGGCCGCGCUCAUGCGGCGGCGGCAAAAGGAUGGCAAACCCCGCCUGGAGCAAGACCGAAUAGGGACCCGAUGCGCGCCCUCGCUGGGUCCGGGUAGGUUGCAAGAGGCAUUCGGUGACGGAUGUCCCAGAUGAAUGACUGUUCUCGACAGAACCCGGCUUAUCGGCCGGCUCCCGCU